Molecule: ribosomal RNA, 498 nt
Filed under: uncultured bacterium
Lineage: Bacteria
Description: bacterial SSU rRNA
Rfam family: Bacterial small subunit ribosomal RNA
Source: RNAcentral
ACUCAAAUGAAUUGACGGGGGCCCGCACAAGCGGAGGAACAUGUGGUUUAAUUCGAUGAUACGCGAGGAACCUUACCCGGGUUUGAACGUAGGGAGACAGGGGUGGAAACAUCCUUUUCAGCAAUGACUGCCUACGAGGUGCUGCAUGGUUGUCGUCAGCUCGUGCCGUGAGGUGUCGGCUUAAGUGCCAUAACGAGCGCAACCCUUAUUUUCAGUUACUAACAGGUAAUGCUGAGGACUCUGAAGAGACUGCCAGCGUAAGCUGUGAGGAAGGUGGGGAUGACGUCAAAUCAGCACGGCCCUUACAUCCGGGGCGACACACGUGUUACAAUGGUAAGGACAAAGGGCAGCUACCGGGCGACCGGAUGCUAAUCUCUAAACCUUAUCUCAGUUCGGAUCGGAGUCUGCAACUCGACUCCGUGAAGCUGGAUUCGCUAGUAAUCGCGCAUCAGCCAUGGCGCGGUGAAUACGUUCCCGGGCCUUGCACACACCGCCCGU